This 377-nucleotide ribosomal RNA is filed under the name uncultured eukaryote. Its description in RNAcentral is "partial 18S ribosomal RNA". It matches the Rfam family "Eukaryotic small subunit ribosomal RNA", at positions 592 to 976 of the family's 1831-position model. The record is from RNAcentral.
CAAUAGCGUAUAUUUAAGUUGCUGCAGUUAAAAAGCUCGUAGUUGGAUUUCGGGUGGGAAUGGCCGGUCCGCCGUUUCGGUGUGCACUUGCUACGCCCACCUUGCUGCCGGGGACGUGCUCUUGAGUUCACGCUCGGGACACGGAGUCGGCGAGGUUACUUUGAGUAAAUUAGAGUGUUCAAAGCAGGCCUACGCUCUGAAUACAUUAGCAUGGAAUAACACGAUAGGACUCUGGCCUAUCUUGUUGGUCUGUAGGACCGGAGUAAUGAUUAAGAGGGACAGUCGGGGGCAUUCGUAUUUCAUUGUCAGAGGUGAAAUUCUCGGAUUUAUGAAAGACGAACUACUGCGAAAGCAUUUGCCAAGGAUGUUUUCAUUAA